This 758-nucleotide long non-coding RNA is filed under the name Mustela putorius furo (domestic ferret). Its description in RNAcentral is "lncRNA (ENSMPUG00000024460.1)". Lineage: Eukaryota; Metazoa; Chordata; Mammalia; Carnivora; Mustelidae. The record is from RNAcentral.
UCAGAACUGUCUUUACCGCUAACAAGGUCUAAAUGAAACUGUCGCCAUGGAUAAUGUUUGUGUCUUGCGUUGUGACUGUCCUGACAAAGGCCUGUCCCGUUGGGGAGUAGAUGAAGCUUAACAUUCACAGGCCUUGGGAGCCAUGGAUGGAGAGACUCCGGCUGUCUGCCAAGCAGAACCUGGCAGAUCUUUGGCAAGGUGGUUGCCCUGAGACAACUCUUGCCCUGAGACAAUCGGGAAGGCUUGGGGAGAAGGACUUUCUCCAGAAUACCUACUUGAUAAACCUUCUUGACUGACUGUGCCUAUUUGUAAUCUCUGCUCACAACUGGGUCCUUGACAAAACCUACUAUAAACUUCUCAACCAUCAAUUAUACAUAAAAAAUGUGGGUGAAAUGAUGGAGAAGAAUUCAACAAAUAGCAUUGCUCAUAAUGGAGAGAAGAUUCUACCUUCUACAAUAUGUAAUUUGAUGAAAUAUGCUAAGCAAGGUUGGGAGAAAAUAGAACCAUUAUUUGUUGUCCGAGCUCCUGGAUCACACGCUACCACUUGCUUAUCUCACUGGGCUCAAGCUUUUCCUGUGGCAUGCCCCCCUGUUCAUCUACCUAUCUGCCUCGCCCAUGGUUUGCUGAAUGCUCCCGGUGAGCCUGGUAUCCUGAAGGACCUUCAUAUCCGCUGUGGUUGGGUUCUCUCAGCUUUCUGCUUGGCCUUGGUCAAAGCCACGGUACACUCCAACUCUUCAGCUCUGGCCCGAAUGCCUUGA